GGGAAAUUAAUAAUCUGUAAGAGGUGCUACUAAAUCCUAACUCCUAGAACUGAGUUUAAGAAAAUGCUGCUCUUAUAUAUAUGAGACCAAGCAUAGAAGCACCCAAUAAGAGGAAAUAAAUCAUUAUCAUCCGAAUGUAAAACAUAAUGCUUUUUAAAAGGAGUACCUCAUGAUGGAAUCAGCUUUCCAGUACGCGUAAAGUGCUCCGAUCCUUGCCAAUAAACACUGUAGGGUUGGUCAAUCCGAAACCUCGUUGGAAUGCCAGGAACGGCAGCCCACAUGGGAUCUCCUUCCCCAAGAAAUGACAUCUCCUCCCACCGCCCUGUUCUUGAUGAGAACACAAGCAGUCUGAGUGGUGACGGCGGCCAUUCCACGGAUUAUAUUUCUCCGAAGCAGGACGAUCUACUAGUUCAUCUCUGCUAUAAUCUUGGUAUAGUAGGGAAUCGAUACCACCUCGUAGUGCGGUGAGACGGCGGGGUCGAAGACGAGGAAGCUACCACACGCGAAGUACUUCUUCCCCAUGUAGAGGGUUGGACGAGGGGGCAGGCUCGCCCACUGCUGAGUGGCCGG
This 570-nucleotide long non-coding RNA is filed under the name Setaria viridis. RNAcentral's name for it is "long non-coding RNA (SVIR_LNC002014)". The record is from RNAcentral. Lineage: Eukaryota; Viridiplantae; Streptophyta; Magnoliopsida; Poales; Poaceae.